AUUGAACGCUGGCGGCAUGCCUAACACAUGCAAGUCGAACGGAGGUAGGGGCAACUCUACUUCAGUGGCGGACGGGUGAGGAAUGCGUCGGAAUCUACCCUAUGGUGGGGGAUAACACAGGGAAACUUGUGCUAAUACCGCAUAAUGUCGAGAGACCAAAGCAGGGGACCGCAAGGCCUUGCGCGAUAGGAUGAGCCGACGCCCGAUUAGCUAGUUGGUAGGGUAAAGGCCUACCAAGGCGACGAUCGGUAGCUGGUCUGAGAGGAUGAUCAGCCACACUGGGACUGAGACACGGCCCAGACUCCUACGGGAGGCAGCAGUGGGGAAUAUUGGACAAUGGGCGCAAGCCUGAUCCAGCAAUGCCGCGUGUGUGAAGAAGGCCUGCGGGUUGUAAAGCACUUUUGUUCGGGAAGAAAUCAUGCUGGUUAAUACCUGGUAUGGAUGACGGUACCGAAAGAAUAAGCACCGGCUAAACUUCGUGCCAGCAGCCGCGGUAA
This 497-nucleotide ribosomal RNA is filed under the name uncultured bacterium. RNAcentral describes it as "bacterial SSU rRNA". It matches the Rfam family "Bacterial small subunit ribosomal RNA", at positions 30 to 523 of the family's 1533-position model. The record is from RNAcentral.